This 786-nucleotide long non-coding RNA is filed under the name Equus caballus (horse). RNAcentral's name for it is "lncRNA (ENSECAG00000044729.1)". The record is from RNAcentral. Lineage: Eukaryota; Metazoa; Chordata; Mammalia; Perissodactyla; Equidae.
CGCCUCAACAUGGCUUGAUGAGCAAUGCCAUGGCCACACCCAGGAUCCCAACCAGUGAAACCUUGGGCGGCUGAAGCAGAGCGCCUGAACUUAACCACUUGGCCACGGGGUCGGACCCAUGGCCAAGUCUUAUAGUCCAGGAAAGGGUGCGAGUAGACGACUGAAUAUGCAGAUGAGGAUUCAAAAGUGAAGAGGGUGCCCCGGGGCCCAAAGGGUUGUUUUCACUAGCAUGACCACCAGCAGGAGCAGAAGGACUAGUUUCAGAGGCUUUGGCUGAGGCCACUCAGCUGAUGCCCUAGGCCCUCCUAAGCACAGGCUGAGGGCAGGAGCGUCAGCAAGAGCUGUGGCUCCACCGGGAGCCACAGCUUUGCUGUGCCGCAGGCUCUUCGACAAACUGCAACGCUCCUCCCUGAAGCCGUGGCUUCCAGAGGAGGGGGUGCCCUCGCGAGACUGGAAAAAUCUCGGUUGCGUUAGCUCUCAGAACCUGCCACCUCCAUGGGAAAGGCUCCCGAUCGCUGGCAAAACCCUUCUUGGACCGUUGGGAGGACUCAGGCUAAUGUCAGCAUGGCUGGAUGAGCAGUGUGUAGGUCCACGCUGAGGAUCCGAACCUGAGAAGCCCAGGCCACUGAAGCAGAGGGCACGAACUUAACCACUAUGCUACCGUGCCAGCCCCUACUAGACCUAUUCUGAAUACAUUGGUAUGUCUCAGCCAAGAACCUAGAAGGAUUGUGAAAGGUGAAAUAAAAUGGAGCCACUUAUGUCAAGAGGUUUUUAAAUGGAGCUGGG